RNAcentral lists this ribosomal RNA (253 nucleotides) under uncultured bacterium. RNAcentral's name for it is "partial 16S ribosomal RNA". It matches the Rfam family "Bacterial small subunit ribosomal RNA", at positions 524 to 776 of the family's 1533-position model. The record is from RNAcentral.
UACGAAGGGGCUAGCGUUGCUCGGAUUUACUGGGCGUAAAGGGCGCGUAGGCGGACAUUUAAGUCAGGGGUGAAAUCCCGGGGCUCAACCUCGGAACCUGCCUUUGAUACUGGGUGUCUUGAGUGUGAGAGAGGUAUGUGGAACUCCGAGUGUAGAGGUGAAAUUCGUAGAUAUUCGGAAGAACACCAGUGGCGAAGGCGACAUACUGGCUCAUUACUGACGCUGAGGCGCGAAAGCGUGGGGAGCAAACAGG